Molecule: non-coding RNA, 21 nt
Organism: Caenorhabditis elegans
Lineage: Eukaryota; Metazoa; Nematoda; Chromadorea; Rhabditida; Rhabditidae
Source: Ensembl
UCAGCAACUGAAAUUUUCGAA